RNAcentral lists this ribosomal RNA (430 nucleotides) under uncultured cyanobacterium. RNAcentral's name for it is "bacterial SSU rRNA". It matches the Rfam family "Bacterial small subunit ribosomal RNA", at positions 355 to 795 of the family's 1533-position model. Lineage: Bacteria; Bacillati; Cyanobacteriota. The record is from RNAcentral.
GGGCGAAUUUUCCUGCAAUGGGCGAAAGCCUGACGGAGCAAUCUCGCGUGAGGGAUGACGGCCUCAUGGGUUGUAACACCUCUUUUUUCAGGGCAGGAAUAACUGACGUGUACCUGAAGAAUAAGCAUCGGCUAACUCCGUGCCANCAGCCGCGGUAAGACGGAGGAUGCAAGUGUUAUCCGGAAUCACUGGGCGUAAAGCGUCUGUAGGUGGUUUAGUAAGUCAACUGUUAAAUCUUGAGGCUUAACUUCAAAAUCGCAGUCGAAACUAUUAGACUAGAGUAUAGUAGGGGUAAAGGGAAUUUCCAGUGGAGCGGUGAAAUGCGUAUAGAUUGGAAAGAACACCGAUGGCNAAGGCACUUUACUGGGCUAUUACUGACACUCAGAGACGAAAGCUAGGGUACCAAAUGGGAUUAGAUACCCCAGUAGUC